AGUGAACGCUGGCGGCAGGCCUAACACAUGCAAGUCGAGCGGCAGCGCGGGGGCAACCCUGGCGGCGAGCGGCGGACGGGUGAGGAAUUCGUCGGAAUCUGCCUUUUUGUGGGGGAUAACGUAGGGAAACUUACGCUAAUACCGCAUACGUCCUACGGGAGAAAGUGGGGGACCGCAAGGCCUCACGCAGAAAGAUGAGCCGACGACCGAUUAGCUAGUUGGUGGGGUAAAGGCCCACCAAGGCGACGAUCGGUAGCUGGUCUGAGAGGAUGAUCAGCCAACAUGGGACGUAGGACACGCCCCGACUCCCAAGGGAGGCCGCAGUGGGGAAUAUUUGACAAUGGGGGGAAGGCCUAUCCAGGCCAGCCGGGGGGUGGAAGAAGGGCCUCCGGGUGUUAAACCCCUUUGGCCGGAAAGAAAACCCUGGGGGUAAAAACCUCGGGGGAUGAAGGGAACGGAAGAAUAAGCACCGGCUAACUUCGUG
This 484-nucleotide ribosomal RNA is filed under the name uncultured bacterium. RNAcentral's name for it is "partial 16S ribosomal RNA". It matches the Rfam family "Bacterial small subunit ribosomal RNA", at positions 30 to 507 of the family's 1533-position model. The record is from RNAcentral.